CAUGCAGCCGAGCGGUAGAGAUCUUUCGGGAUCUUGAGAGCGGCGUACGGGUGCGGAACACGUGUGCAACCUGCCUUUAUCAGGGGGAUAGCCUUUCGAAAGGAAGAUUAAUACCCCAUAAUAUAUUGAGUGGCAUCACUUAAUAUUGAAAACUCCGGUGGAUAGAGAUGGGCACGCGCAAGAUUAGAUAGUUGGUGAGGUAACGGCUCACCAAGUCUGCGAUCUUUAGGGGGCCUGAGAGGGUGAUCCCCCACACUGGUACUGAGACACGGACCAGACUCCUACGGGAGGCAGCAGUGAGGAAUAUUGGACAAUGGGUGCGAGCCUGAUCCAGCCAUCCCGCGUGAAGGACGACGGCCCUAUGGGUUGUAAACUUCUUUUGUAUAGGGAUAAACCUACUCUCGUGAGAGUAGCUGAAGGUACUAUACGAAUAAGCACCGGCUAACUCCGUGCCAGCAGCCGCGGUAAUACGGAGGGUGCAAGCGUUAUCCGGAUUUAUUGGGUUUAAAGGGUCCGUAGCGGAUCUGUAAGUCAGUGGUGAAAUCUCACAGCUUAACUGUGAAACUGCCAUUGAUACUGCAGUCUUGAGUGUUGUUGAAGUAGCUGGAAUAAGUAGUGUAGCGUGAAAUGCAUAGAUAUUACUUAGAACACCAUUGCGAAGCAGUUACUAAGCAACAACUGACGCUGAUGACGAAAGCGUGGGGGAGCGAACAGAAUAGAUACCU
RNAcentral lists this ribosomal RNA (725 nucleotides) under uncultured bacterium. RNAcentral describes it as "bacterial SSU rRNA". It matches the Rfam family "Bacterial small subunit ribosomal RNA", at positions 54 to 787 of the family's 1533-position model. The record is from RNAcentral.